GAGUUUGAUCCUGGCUCAGGACGAACGCUGGCGGCGUGCCUAAUACAUGCAAGUCGAGCGGACAGAUGGGAGCUUGCUCCCUGAUGUUAGCGGCGGACGGGUGAGUAACACGUGGGUAACCUGCCUGUAAGACUGGGAUAACUCCGGGAAACCGGGGCUAAUACCGGAUGGUUGUUUGAACCGCAUGGUUCAAACAUAAAAGGUGGCUUCGGCUACCACUUACAGAUGGACCCGCGGCGCAUUAGCUAGUUGGUGAGGUAACGGCUCACCAAGGCGACGAUGCGUAGCCGACCUGAGAGGGUGAUCGGCCACACUGGGACUGAGACACGGCCCAGACUCCUACGGGAGGCAGCAGUAGGGAAUCUUCCGCAAUGGACGAAAGUCUGACGGAGCAACGCCGCGUGAGUGAUGAAGGUUUUCGGAUCGUAAAGCUCUGUUGUUAGGGAAGAACAAGUGCCGUUCGAAUAGGGCGGUACCUUGACGGUACCUAACCAGAAAGCCACGGCUAACUACGUGCCAGCAGCCGCGGUAAUACGUAGGUGGCAAGCGUUGUCCGGAAUUAUUGGGCGUAAAGGGCUCGCAGGCGGUUUCUUAAGUCUGAUGUGAAAGCCCCCGGCUCAACCGGGGAGGGUCAUUGGAAACUGGGGAACUUGAGUGCAGAAGAGGAGAGUGGAAUUCCACGUGUAGCGGUGAAAUGCGUAGAGAUGUGGAGGAACACCAGUGGCGAAGGCGACUCUCUGGUCUGUAACUGACGCUGAGGAGCGAAAGCGUGGGGAGCGAACAGGAUUAGAUACCCUGGUAGUCCACGCCGUAAACGAUGAGUGCUAAGUGUUAGGGG
This 838-nucleotide ribosomal RNA is filed under the name Bacillus subtilis. RNAcentral describes it as "bacterial SSU rRNA". It matches the Rfam family "Bacterial small subunit ribosomal RNA", at positions 9 to 829 of the family's 1533-position model. The record is from RNAcentral. Lineage: Bacteria; Bacillati; Bacillota; Bacilli; Caryophanales; Bacillaceae.